RNAcentral lists this transfer RNA (75 nucleotides) under archaeon. RNAcentral describes it as "tRNA-Ile". It matches the Rfam family "tRNA". From Rfam's summary of the family: Transfer RNA (tRNA) molecules are approximately 80 nucleotides in length. Their secondary structure includes four short double-helical elements and three loops (D, anti-codon, and T loops). Further hydrogen bonds mediate the characteristic L-shaped molecular structure. tRNAs have two regions of fundamental functional importance: the anti-codon, which is responsible for specific mRNA codon recognition, and the 3' end, to which the tRNAs corresponding amino acid is attached (by aminoacyl-tRNA synthetases). tRNAs cope with the degeneracy of the genetic code in two manners: having more than one tRNA (with a specific anti-codon) for a particular amino acid; and 'wobble' base-pairing, i.e. permitting non-standard base-pairing at the 3rd anti-codon position. The record is from RNAcentral. RNAcentral also lists the same sequence under 1 other name.
GGGCAUGUAGCUUAGCUUGGUUGGAGCACCCGGCUGAUAACCGGGAGGUCGGCAGUUCAAAUCUGCCCAUGCCCA